GGGGGCAUAGCUCAGUUGGGAGAGCAUCGCACUGGCAGUGCGAAGGUCAGGAGUUCAAGUCUCCUUGCCUCCA
Transfer RNA from Plesiocystis pacifica SIR-1, 73 nucleotides. It matches the Rfam family "tRNA". Rfam says of the family: Transfer RNA (tRNA) molecules are approximately 80 nucleotides in length. NCBI's taxonomy places the organism in Bacteria, Pseudomonadati, Myxococcota, Nannocystales, Nannocystaceae. The record is from Rfam.